Molecule: long non-coding RNA, 414 nt
Organism: Mustela erminea (ermine)
Lineage: Eukaryota; Metazoa; Chordata; Mammalia; Carnivora; Mustelidae
Exons: 3
Source: RefSeq, a predicted model, not a curated record
CUGAGGGCAGCAACUUUACCCUCAAAAACUAACAUGGUGGAGUGACAUAAGAAUGUUCACCCCGGCCUACGAAGAAGGCUGAGGCAGUUCUGGAGAGGACCUGGACAGAGAACCCGGCAGAAAGCAGCAAUUCCAACGGGGGCUCUAUUCUGAUGGUAUUGACUUCGGGAAGCGGGAAUGCCAAUAUCAUUUUAAAGCAAUCGAGAGGUCAGUCUUCAUUCAUGAGCUCAUGUCAGAGGAGAAUGAUUGCGUUUAAGAGACACUGUUCUCACGUCCUUUCAGUCCUGUGACUAGUUUUGUCCUUUGAGAGGGCCAGGAGUAAUCGCUUGGCCUUACUUACUCCAGCCUGUUUGUAAAAGCUUUUCCAGACCGUGACUGCCGCUCUUCUUUACGUAUGCUUUCUAGACAGAACUU